UACGUAGGUGACCAGCGUUGUCCGGAUUUACUGGGCGUAAAGAGCGCGCAGGCGGUCGUUCAAGUCGAGUGUGAAAGCCCCCGGCUCAACUGGGGAGGGUCACUCGAUACUGAUCGACUUGAAGGCAGGAGAGGGAAGCGGAAUUCCCGGUGUAGUGGUGAAAUGCGUAGAUAUCGGGAGGAACACCAGUGGCGAAGGCGGCAUUCUGGACCGAUAUUGACGCUGAGGAGCGAAAGCCAGGGGAGCAAACGGG
Molecule: ribosomal RNA, 253 nt
Filed under: uncultured bacterium
Lineage: Bacteria
Description: partial 16S ribosomal RNA
Rfam family: Bacterial small subunit ribosomal RNA
Source: RNAcentral